GACGAACGCUGGCGGCGUGCUUAACACAUGCAAGUCGAACGGGUCUGCCCUGUUUUUUGCGGGGUGGGUCAGUGGCGAACGGGUGAGUAACACGUGAGUAACCUGCCCCUCACUUCUGGAUAACCGCUUGAAAGGGUGGCUAAUCCGGGGUGUUCUGGCUGUGCCGCAUGGUGUGGCUGGGAAAGAUUCACUUUUGUGUUGUUUUGGUGGGGGAUGGGCUCGCGGCCUAUCAGCUUGUUGGUGGGGUGAUGGCCUGCCAAGGCUUUGACGGGUAGCCGGCAUGGGCGGGUGGGCGGUCACACUGGGAGUGAGAUACGGCCCAGACUCCGGCGGGAGGCAGAAGUGGGGGGUAUUGCACAAUGGGCGGAAGCCUGAUGCAGCGACGUCGCGUGAGGGAUGGAGGCCUUCGGGUUGUGAACCUCUUUCGCCGGUGAAGAAGGUCCUGCUCUGUGUGGUGGGGUUGACGGUAGCCGGGUUAUGAAGCGCCGGCUAACUACGUG
RNAcentral lists this ribosomal RNA (500 nucleotides) under uncultured bacterium. RNAcentral's name for it is "partial 16S ribosomal RNA". It matches the Rfam family "Bacterial small subunit ribosomal RNA", at positions 28 to 507 of the family's 1533-position model. The record is from RNAcentral.